Molecule: ribosomal RNA, 575 nt
Filed under: Staphylococcus aureus
Lineage: Bacteria; Bacillati; Bacillota; Bacilli; Caryophanales; Staphylococcaceae
Description: bacterial SSU rRNA
Rfam family: Bacterial small subunit ribosomal RNA
Source: RNAcentral
UAGCCGACCUGAGAGGGUGAUCGGCCACACUGGAACUGAGACACGGUCCAGACUCCUACGGGAGGCAGCAGUAGGGAAUCUUCCGCAAUGGGCGAAAGCCUGACGGAGCAACGCCGCGUGAGUGAUGAAGGUCUUCGGAUCGUAAAACUCUGUUAUUAGGGAAGAACAUAUGUGUAAGUAACUGUGCACAUCUUGACGGUACCUAAUCAGAAAGCCACGGCUAACUACGUGCCAGCAGCCGCGGUAAUACGUAGGUGGCAAGCGUUAUCCGGAAUUAUUGGGCGUAAAGCGCGCGUAGGCGGUUUUUUAAGUCUGAUGUGAAAGCCCACGGCUCAACCGUGGAGGGUCAUUGGAAACUGGAAAACUUGAGUGCAGAAGAGGAAAGUGGAAUUCCAUGUGUAGCGGUGAAAUGCGCAGAGAUAUGGAGGAACACCAGUGGCGAAGGCGACUUUCUGGUCUGUAACUGACGCUGAUGUGCGAAAGCGUGGGGAUCAAACAGGAUUAGAUACCCUGGUAGUCCACGCCGUAAACGAUGAGUGCUAAGUGUUAGGGGGUUUCCGCCCCUUAGUGCUGCA